AGCGAACGCUGGCGGCAGGCCUAAUACAUGCAAGUCGAGCGCUCCUUCGGGUGAGCGGCGGACGGGUGAGUAACGCGUGGGAACGUGCCCUUUGGUACGGGAUAACUGAGGGAAACUUCAGCUAAUACCGUAUGUGCCCUACGGGGGAAAGAUUUAUCGCCAUUGGAGCGGCCCGCGUUGGAUUAGGUAGUUGGUGAGGUAAAGGCUCACCAAGCCUACGAUCCAUAGCUGGUCUGAGAGGAUGAUCAGCCACACUGGGACUGAGACACGGCCCAGACUCCUACGGGAGGCAGCAGUAGGGAAUCUUGCGCAAUGGGCGAAAGCCUGACGCAGCCAUGCCGCGUGUAUGAUGAAGGUCUUAGGAUUGUAAAAUACUUUCACCGGGGAAGAUAAUGACGGUACCCGGAGAAGAAGCCCCGGCUAACUUCGUGCCAGCCGCCGCCGUAA
Molecule: ribosomal RNA, 447 nt
Filed under: uncultured bacterium
Lineage: Bacteria
Description: partial 16S ribosomal RNA
Rfam family: Bacterial small subunit ribosomal RNA
Source: RNAcentral